This 3624-nucleotide long non-coding RNA is filed under the name Musa acuminata (dwarf banana). Its description in RNAcentral is "long non-coding RNA (MACU_LNC002579)". Lineage: Eukaryota; Viridiplantae; Streptophyta; Magnoliopsida; Zingiberales; Musaceae. The record is from RNAcentral.
AUGAUCCAAUCAUGGUGAUAACCUGGGCCAGCCCUUCCCUUUUGUGCCACUCGGAGGUUCCCAAACCGGUAUGACUGGUCUUCUGCAUCUUACAUCUUUGAAUCUUUGUGUAGUGAUGUUACUGAUCUGCUGCAUGUCAUGACUUUGCUUGAAGAGGAACAAGAACAUGACCUAUUAGUGGCAUUCAAACCAACAAAACAGUCAGAUAGUACAUUCCAAACCAAUGCAUCUAAAAAGUUCGAUUUGCUAGUUCUAACAAAAUAUAUCAGAAGUAAUACCAACCAACUCAACAAUUAAAACAGGAGUAGAAAACAUAUCAAAGAAAAAAAAUAAAAUAAUUUUGUGAUCAUCUAAUCUAAUAACUAGGACGUGGAAUCUUCAGAGUGAGAAAAUAUGAAAAGAUUAUUUUGCCAUAAUCUAAUCCGUGAAAUUUCACACAAUAAACAACUAGGGUGUUUUAUCUUCAGAAAUGACAUGGACAAAGUAAUCAGCUGUGCCAUUAUACACCGAUAAGAUCAAUGGUCAUCAGGUUUUCUUGUAUUGAGCAUGACUUUUUAGCAACAUAUUGUACCAUUUCAGGAUUUUCUAUUGCACAAACAAUGAGAUAGUUUUCAUUUUCAUCGAGCAGAGUGGCUAAAAUCAGAAUAAACUGUAAGUGAAGUUCUCACAUAAAAUCAUGAAAAUAAUUAUUUUGGCACUAUAUCACAUAUACAAAUUAUAUAUGAUUCAAUGGUCAGGCAGAUUCCUAAAGUCCUCUAUGGUAUUGGAACAAUUAAAUGGUUCUUUUCACUAGCACAAUUGGUGCUAGGUUCUCAGAUUUGACUAUCGUGAGUUCAACAAAGUGUCUACACCAGUGAGGGUGAGAUAGUGGCAUGCUGCAAUCUCCUAUAUUCAUCUAGAGAACCACAAAACAUAAAAAAGAUUUUGACUUUGUGUUUAAAGAUGGUUGCAUGCACUGCAAUGUAGAUGCGGGAUCUGUCCGUAUGUAGUGUCAGCUGCCAUUCUACAUGUUCUUGAUGAUAGUGACAUCCUGAUAUACCUUUGCACAUCCUGUUAAGUUCCUUUUCCCCACUAAAAUUUUCAUCCAAAGAUUUGCCAAAGGAUUUUUAAAACGAUACUCCUUGUAUGUUGAGUUUCUAAAUUAGGUCUAAUUUGUUUUCAUAAACAUUGCAAUUGUUUGCUGAGUUGUGGUACUUUGCAUUCAAACUAUGUAUUUUAUAUUCAAAUUCUACCAGCUUCUAGAAUACAGAAAUGGCAAAUUAAAGCAUCUGCUAAUCCAAAUGAUCAACUUUUAAGUUGAAAAUCAGUCACAGAGUAUACAACAAUGAUGUGCCAGUAAUUGCUCAAUCUUGAAAGAAAAGAUAAGGAGUUUUACAGAUUACAGUUGUAGACAAAAGAAAUCCUUUAAGGUCACACUCUUAAUCUAUAAAUUCUAUUGAUAUAUAUGUAGCAUCAUAUUUCAGGACCACAAGAUUACUUCAAUACACCGAGGAAAAUAUUUCUAGUGUUAGAUUCAUUGCUGGAAAGGAGAUUCAUAAUUAAAUACCAUGCUUUGCAUUGCAAAAAUGAACAAGGUGGAAGGUCAUAAUAAAUUGUUGUCAAUUAGUUAGUUCAAUUACAGUUCUCUGCAACCCAGCAAAAAGGGAAAAGUAAACAUGGUUCAUGGAAGCUUUGUUGGUUAAUCAUGUGCUACGUAAUCUAAAUGAACUGCACCAUAGUUAGUAUUGUGGGAUAAGCGUAUAUAAUGUAGAUUAACAUCUAAAUAUGCUUAAAGUUAGGGUACAAUAGACAGCCUCUCUGCUAAGGGUAAGGCUCGAUACAGACCUUAAUUAGUUCAGGUACUGUCUGCAAACCUCCAGAAACUGUUUCCAUCUUAAUUUAGCCUUCUCAAACCCCUCCAUAUCAAUGUUGUUUCAGUAACAUCAUUUUCAUCUCACAUUUAUGUUACUCCAGGCCUCAAUGGCUUUGUAGCAGAUUUAGUUAACUUGAUACAAUUUCACAUAACCUCAGAUCUUUUUUGUAGGCCAAAUUUCUUGCUGAAUUUUGAUUGUACAAGUCUAUUUGAUGUUUAAAGUAUCAUGUUGAGAAUUUGGAGUUGUUUGAUACCCUUUAUCAAACAGAUAAGCAGGUGGAUCGGUGAAAAUAGUUCAAAAUUUGACAAUUAAUACUCGAGAUGAGUUUUUUUAGAAGAAUAAAGCAUUUUGAGAACCCAUGAGUGGUGAUUGAUUGGAUCAGGAACAAAUUUCUCGCUGAACUACUUUUGGUCGGUUUUUUCUCGAGUGUGAUGAUCAUUUACAAUUUCUUCUUCUAAACAUAGGUUUGUAGAAUCAGCAAAUCAUACUUUCAAAUGGGUACUAUUUCAUUUUAUAGAAUUCCAUGAAAACCAAUACAUCGGUUCUGAACAGACAUGUCAAUUCUAUGUCACUGAUAUCCACUGAUAGUAUUCAACAGUUAUUAAGCACAAAAUACAUGUUCCAAUAAAAAAACAAUUAAUAACAGAUCCACGAGUAGCUUCAGGAAUAUUGCCUGAUCGAUGGCUAUACUACCCUCUAUCAACAAAGUACAUCUACUAGAAUCAAUAUGUCAUAGAUAAUAUUGCUGAAACUGAAAAAAUACAGUAAAAAACCUUAAAGAUUAUUGAACUAUUGGAUUGAACUAGUUUAAUUAAUAUUUUGUUAGAUUAGAUGCAUGUAAUUUAAUGUUAUAGUAACAAUUAUUUUGCAUAUCUAAUACAUAAAAAUCAUGAUUAUGUUUUCUCUCAGUUAUGUUGUUAGAACUUUCCUAAAGCAAGUCGCUUGCUUUGUUCAAACAAGUGCCUCACGCAAUAAAAACUUCUAACAAACAAAAGGCUUACUCGGUGGGCAUCGGAGAUAAUGUAAGCAUCACCAUCAACAUCAGCUCAAUAAUAGCUGUGAUCUUCUAGUCGCCGCCAUCGAACGAAUUCUUCCGCAUCUCGGAGGAGGGCAACAAUGUGAUCGCCGGGCCUCCAGGCGAACAUGGAGAGCCGGCGAACAUGGAGAGCCGGCGAUGCCGAAACCCUAUAGGCGGAGGAGGGGGAGUUCUGUGGAGCUGGAGGGAGGAGGAUCAUGGAUUGACUGCGCGAAUCAAGGCAUUGGGUUCGGCGGAUUUCCACGACGACAUGUGGAAGGAGUGACUGGCGUUCCUUCCACGCGCGGCGACUCCUCCCCUGCGCCGCUGGCGGCUUAUGCUGAUUCCGCCCUUGCCGUGUCGAAUUGGCUCCGACGCAGUCUUCAUGUUGACUGAGGCUUGGAAAAGAUUCAUGUGCUUAUUCCUCUUAAUAUUAAAAUUUCCCAUAUAUAAACAUGAUUAAUAUUGAUUAAUUGAAUAUAAAUAUAUAAUAUUAAUGUAUCUGAAAUAUCCUAACCUUUAAAAGUUGUAAUUAAUUUUUGAAGGAUAUAUAUAUAUAUAUAAGUAUUUAAUAUUGGAGGAAACAAAGGACAAUAUCACAACAAUAGUCGGAGGUGCGGUGUGGGCAAGGAGGCCUAUCAAAAUCAUGCUCUCCCAUUGGUCCAACUCAUCCCACCCUAUCCAAGUCCAAUCCUUCACCUCCUUCCCAUGGACCUUUUCUCUCCCACACACUCCUCCAUCUGCCAUCUCCAUUAC